AGAGGAAUAGCUGGGUCAAAUGAUGGUUCCAUUCCCAGAUUUACAUGGAAUCUCCAUACUGCUUUCCAAAUUGGCUGCACCAAUUUGCAGUCCCACCAGCAAU
Molecule: microRNA precursor, 103 nt
Filed under: Marmota monax (woodchuck)
Lineage: Eukaryota; Metazoa; Chordata; Mammalia; Rodentia; Sciuridae
Source: RNAcentral